Molecule: long non-coding RNA, 695 nt
Filed under: Ananas comosus (pineapple)
Lineage: Eukaryota; Viridiplantae; Streptophyta; Magnoliopsida; Poales; Bromeliaceae
Description: long non-coding RNA (ACOM_LNC030322)
Source: RNAcentral
GUAAGGGCGAUGCCCGGCGACGGGGUGGGUCACAGAGAGAAAGAGAGAGAAAGAAAGAGAGAGAGAGAGGUGAAGGCUUCUAGGGCUAGAGAGAGAAUGAGGGUGGGGUGUAACCUUGGGCGACAGAGGGCGGCAUCGGCGGCGGCGGCAUAGUGAGAGUGAGAGGAAGAGAGAGAUGUUAGAGAGAGCAAGAGGGGUGGUGGGUGUUCUCGGUGGGUUAAGGGCGUCGUCGGCGUUGCCGACGGCGACGUAGUGGGUCACAGAGAGAAAGAGAGAAAGAGAGAGAGAGAGGUGGGGGCUUCUAGGGCUAGAGAGAGAAUGAGAGUGGGGUGUAACCUUGGGCGACAGAGGGCGGCAUCGGCGACGGCGGCAUCGGCGACGGCGGCGGCGGCGUCGGCCAGAGAGAGAGAGCGAGAGGANAGAGUGGGGUGUAACCUUGGGCGACAGAGGGCGGCAUCGGCGACGGCGGCAUCGGCGACGGCGGCGGCGGCGUCGGCCAGAGAGAGAGAGCGAGAGGAAAAGAGCGAGAGAGAGAGAGAGAGCAAGAGAGAGUUGGGGGGAAGAGGAAGGCAGCUCGCAGGGUUGUAUUCAAAGAGAACACGGUGAUUGAUUCACCCUGGACACGGGGAAUCAAUCACCGCGUCUAGACACGGUGAAUCAAUCACCGCGUCUGGACACGGUGAACCAUUCACCGU